UGGGGAAUAUUGCACAAUGGGGGAAACCCGUGAUGCAGCGACGCCGCGUGAGCGAAGAAGUAUUUCGGUAUGUAAAGCUCUAUCAGCAGGGAAGAAAAUGACGGUACCUGACUAAGAAGCCCCGGCUAACUACGUGCCAGCAGCCGCGGUAAUACGUAGGGGCAAGCGUUAUCCGGAUUUAUUGGGUUUAAAGGGUGCGCAGGCGGCGCGAAAAGUCAGCGGUCAAAGUUCCGGGCUCAACCCGGUGACGCCGUUGAAACUUUCGGGCUGGAGUUCGUGCGAGGGAGGCGGAAUGCGUUGUGUAGCGGUGAAAUGCAUAGAUAUGACGCAGAACCCCCGAUUGCGAAGGCAGCUUUUCCAGCACGCGACUGACGCUGAGGCACGAAAGCGUGGGGAGCGAACAGGAUUAGAUACCCUGGUAGU
RNAcentral lists this ribosomal RNA (423 nucleotides) under uncultured Lachnospiraceae bacterium. RNAcentral describes it as "bacterial SSU rRNA". It matches the Rfam family "Bacterial small subunit ribosomal RNA", at positions 355 to 794 of the family's 1533-position model. Lineage: Bacteria; Bacillati; Bacillota; Clostridia; Lachnospirales; Lachnospiraceae. The record is from RNAcentral.